ACUCAACGUUAAUGCUCUUAAAAAGGGUGAGUUUUAAUUGUAAAAGCAAGCUGUUAGUGCCAGUUUAUUCUGGUAUUUAGGACAGAUCCUUGAUCAAUUAGUUAGCCCUAAACUUGUUUUAAGGAGUUU
RNAcentral lists this small RNA (129 nucleotides) under Aurantibacter aestuarii. Its description in RNAcentral is "6S-Flavo RNA". It matches the Rfam family "6S-Flavo RNA". Lineage: Bacteria; Pseudomonadati; Bacteroidota; Flavobacteriia; Flavobacteriales; Flavobacteriaceae. The record is from Rfam by way of RNAcentral.